UCAAGCAAGUGUUUUUGUUAACUUACGCGUUUAUGUUCAGAGGCUAUGUCACGGAUCAAUGUAGUGAUAAUGCAUUUACGUGCUCGUGAACCUGAGAAUGAACUUGCAUAUGAUAAUGCUGUUUCUACCCUUGGUAAAAUAUUUCAGUUUCAUCGAGAACUUAUCGACUCAGCCCAGGUCAUUCCCAUUUGGUUGAAUUGCCUGCCU
Solanum tuberosum (potato) is the source of this 207-nucleotide long non-coding RNA. RefSeq lists it as uncharacterized. The transcript is spliced from 2 exons. The record is from RefSeq and is a predicted model, not a curated record. Lineage: Eukaryota; Viridiplantae; Streptophyta; Magnoliopsida; Solanales; Solanaceae.